This is a long non-coding RNA of Vespula vulgaris, 704 nucleotides long. RefSeq lists it as uncharacterized. The record is from RefSeq and is a predicted model, not a curated record. Lineage: Eukaryota; Metazoa; Arthropoda; Insecta; Hymenoptera; Vespidae. The transcript is spliced from 4 exons.
GGUUGUGUCUGAAGGUUGUGUCCGAGGUUGUGUCUGAAGGUUGUGUCCGAGGUUGUGUCCGAGGUUGUGUCUGAAGGUUGUGUCCGAGGUUGUGUCCGAGGUUGUGUCUGAAGGUUGUGUCCGAGGUUGUGUCCGAGGUUGUGUCUGAAGGUUGUGUCCGAGGUUGUGUCCGAGGUUGUGUCUGAAGGUUGUGUCCGAGGUUGUGUCUGAAGGUUGUGUCCGAGGUUGUGUCCGAGGUUGUGUCUGAAGGUUGUGUCCGAGGUUGUGUCCGAGGUUGUGUCUGAAGGUUGUGUCCGAGGUUGUGUCUGAAGGUUGUGUCCGAGGUUGUGUCUGAAGGUUGUGUCCGAGGUUGUGUCCGAGGUUGUGUCUGAAGGUUGUGUCCGAGGUUGUGUCUGAAGGUUGUGUCCGAGGUUGUGUCCGAGGUUGUGUCUGAAGGUUGUGUCCGAGGUUGUGUCCGAGGUUGUGUCUGAAGGUUGUGUCCGAGGUUGUGUCCGAGGUUGUGUCUGAAGGUUGUGUCCGAGGUUGUGUCUGAAGGUUGUGUCCGAGGUUGUGUCCGAGGUUGUGUCUGAAGGUUGUGUCCGAGGUUGCGUCUGGGUUGCGUCUGGGUUGCGUCUGGGUUGCGUCUGGGUUGCGUCUGGGUUGCGUCUGGGUUGCGUCUGGGUUGCGUCUGGGUUGCGUCUGGGUUGCGUCUGGGUUGCGUCUGG